Zalophus californianus (California sea lion) is the source of this 3613-nucleotide long non-coding RNA. RefSeq lists it as uncharacterized. The record is from RefSeq and is a predicted model, not a curated record. NCBI's taxonomy places the organism in Eukaryota, Metazoa, Chordata, Mammalia, Carnivora, Otariidae. The transcript has 3 exons.
CCUAGUUAACACUAUUAUCUACAGACACCUAUAAGCAAAGCAAAAGAUCUUUCUUAAAGUAUAUAUAAUGUAGCAUGAAUUAAGCCAUAAUUCGUAGAUUAUAAUAAUCACUUCCUAAUAUGCAAACACCUUGGUGAAGUACACAGAAACCACCUCCACAGUGCCAUAGGAAAAAAAACAGUCCUAGGCAUAUUUUUGUUAUAGACUAAUAUUUAAAAAAUGAAAUUGCUUUCACUAAGUUCAACUAACUAGGCAACAGUCAUUCAAGAUAUUAAAAGGUACAACAGAACCAAGCCCUCACUAGAAAGAAAAAUUCCUAAAAGAGGAAAAAUCAUCUCUACAUUAAAGCCUGAAGUUCAUGAUGUCAAGACACAGAACUGUCUGUGAAAGCCUUUUUAAUUUUCUGGAAGCAUGUUAAAGUGUGUGGGGGAGGAAGGUGUUUAGAAAAACCACUGAUUGCCCAGACUUUACUUAAUUUACGUCAUUACUGAAAACUUGUUACAAGCGCAUUUAAAACAAUAUAGGGAAAAGAGUAUUUUAAAACCUCACUGAAAAGAACUAGAGUAGUGGCAACUUAUACGGAUUUAAAGAAAAAAAAAUUCACACAUUACCAGGAAUAUUCAAGUUCCUACCAAGGCAGUGGUAGAGAUGAGUUUACCCUCCAAACCUAAUCCCAUUUGGCAUCUGCAGUAACUGUUACUACAAGAGAAAAGGGCUAGCACUAACAAAACCACAAGCAAAGACCACCCUCCUAGCCAUAUCUAGCCUGUUUUCCUACCCUUCUUCGCAAUGUGUUAAAAGAACUACCGCUACAUCUGAAAUAAUGCAAAAACCUUUAUAAAGACUUUAAAAAGCUAUACAUAUUUUUGUUAUAAUUUAUCAUUUUGAUAAAUUUGAGGAAGAAGAAAAUAGUUCUUACAGUAACAAGUAGUUUUUUCACCUACCCCCCAUCACCCAAAAGAAAAAACAAGAAUUAACAGUAUUAAGUCAAACCAUAAGAUUGGCUACAGCAAGCCAAGUACUCACUUGAAGGGAAGUAAACGGUAAAACUGUCUACUCCAAUAUUAGAUAAUAAAAAAAAUCACGUAUGGCUUCACAAUUCAAUUUAAAGAAUUUUCCAUGUAUAAAAGUGUCACCAUUUAAAUAUAUUCUGCAUUUUCUAAACAGACAAGGAUUGAUAGUUAAAAGCAGCUUGCAUGACCAGUGCAUAAGAGGAGAACCAAGCAGUAAUGAUUUUUUUUAACUUUUCCACAGUGAAGGAAAAGUCACAAUGAAUAAUAGGUUUGUCUGUAGCAGUAACUUGUUCUAACAGCACUUCAUGAGCAAAGUAUCUUGGAAGAAUUCACAUUUUGUACAUUUUUUUUUUUUAAGUGUAGACCUUACAGCUGAAGUCCAAAUGAGAAAUCCAAACAGGACUCCUGUCAGUGAAUUCCCUUUCAGGACAUGCUCACUCUUGCUUCAAACAGUAAAGCAAAGUAACUUUCAGGAGAAUAAAAGUCAGUCAGACUAAUAUGUCCAGUUACCAUUUAAAAAAGGAAAUUAUUGUGCCUAUUUCCCUGUUUUUUUUUUCCUUAAAAGUUUUAGGUCACUCCACUGAGUCAAAGCUUGAGUAAUCCACUGAGCUUUGUACCUCCAGGUAAAGGAAAGAAAAAUGAGCAUAUUACAAGUGGCUUCCAGGUUUGGAAAAAGUUGGGAGGAGUUAGCUAUGGUAAUUUUAUGUAAGUUAGUGAAUGGAAUAAUAUAAUGCUGGAUAAGAGAAGCUGGUCCCCCGAGAUAACCAGCAUAACUUAAAAAGGAGUCCAAACUCAAGCAUCAUCAAUCACCUUUUUAGCAUUUUUAAAGAGAUGUAUGUUAUUUGUAGGUUUGAUAUUAAUCCAUUUUUUAUUCCAAUAAUCUACACUUCAUACUCAACCUUCUAAAUUCGAACUGCCAGGGUUAACAGUUCCAGGAAAUGAUACUACUCUCAGCCAAUCCUUUUCCAGAUCCCCAUUAGAAAAAGAAACACCCGGGGGGGGGGGGGGGCUGACAUUCACAACUUCUCUAAAAAGCAUGAAAACAUGAUGAUUAAAUUCCACCAAAGGCAAUUAAAAAUCCCAAGUUCCCACAAAGCGUUCCCUACACCAAACGGAAUACCUUUACUUUCACUCCCACAAAGAAAGUAAUCUGGGAUAAGAGUCGGAUAUUGAGUGUGAUAUAUCUGACAUAAAAUAAGACGAAGGAACCUAACUGAAGCUACAGAGGCCAAGAAAUGUAACCCAAAUGGGAGAGGAGAGCUGGAAGAGAAACCCGAAAAGGGAAUGGACAGAAGAGGCUAGUGGAGCAAAGGAACUGGAAAUCACUUCAAGGGAGGCAGCCUUCAGGACUGCGGAGCAAUAGGGAUCUAGGUCCACAGAACCGGGCGUUUACGGAACCCGAAGGCUAAUGGGGAAAACAAUGGGGCGGUGAGACCAGGAGCAAACGGAGAAACGCUCAGGAGAGGGCGACUAGGCAGCACGGGACGGGUGGGAUCAAAGAGCAGAAGGCUGCAGUAGACAGAGGCGGCAGGAAGGUAAGAAGCUAGGUGGAGAGGCAGAUUGGUCCGGUGUGAUGGGGUUUCGGGGCGCACCCGGCAGGAAAGCGAGGGUCCUCUAGGUACCCGGGAGGGGGGCGGGGGGAGUGGCUUAAGAGGAAUUUUUAGAUAGGGAACGGAAGCCGUGAAGGCAGGUAUGAUGGAAGCAAAAAGAACACACCUCGGAGCACAGGACCCGCCGUGCCAGACAAGACGCAGGGAAGAAGAGGCAGCUGAAGGGUUUGCCCAGCUUUCUACUUGUUGUUACAUUGAAGUGGUGCUAUGGGACAAGAAACCAGAAGACUGGACAUACUGCUUUGGGGUGCUCAGGAGACACCCAAAUGGAGCUAUCCAGUAUACCAAAGGAUAUUAAUAUGGCUUUCGCUGCUUCUGCUAUUCAAAUCCACCCAAAGAGCUGGUGUUCAUCUCCAAAUGUGGUGGCAGUACAAUCCAUAAGACUUCACAGCAUUUAGACACGGUUGCUUUUCCACUCAAGGACAGAGGACAAGAGAUGUAAAGAAGCAUUUCCCUGAGGCCUGAAUGCGGUUAAGCAUGAAACUGGAUGUUUAAGGACACAUGUGCCAGUGCUGAGCACCAGAUCUCAAGUGCCAGAAGUGCCCAUAUGCUAUUUAAUAGAUUGAUUUUUUGUGUUUCUGAUAUGUGGGGCCUCCUAAAACACGGGGCUUAAGGCAGGGCCGUCUUGCCUGGGUGGCAGGGUUGGUUGUACUACUGUGCCAAAAGUCAGUCACUAAAUGUCAGAAAGUUCUUUCUGGUCCCACGUAGGAUUCAUGGGUUAAAGAAUUAAGUUAUUUUUAGUGACACAGUAUAUAGACUCUGGAGACAUAGUGAUUGUGGGUUCACAUCCCAACUUUGCUACUUAGUUGUAAGUCACCUUGGGCAAGUUAUGUAACCUUUCUAUGCCUUGGUUUAAAAAACACCCAUCUCGGGCGCCUGGGUGGCUCAGUUGGUUAAGCGACUGCCUUCGGCUCAGGUCAUGAUCCUGGAGUCCCGGGAUCGAGUCCCACAUCGGGCUCCCUGCUCAGCAGGGAGUCUGCUUCUCCCUCU